RNAcentral lists this ribosomal RNA (455 nucleotides) under uncultured bacterium. RNAcentral's name for it is "bacterial SSU rRNA". It matches the Rfam family "Bacterial small subunit ribosomal RNA", at positions 8 to 463 of the family's 1533-position model. The record is from RNAcentral.
AGAGUUUGAUCCUGGCUCAGAUUGAACGCUGGCGGCAUGCUUUACACAUGCAAGUCGAACGGCAGCACGGGUGCUUGCACCUGGUGGCGAGUGGCGAACGGGUGAGUAAUGCACCGGAACGUACCCAGUAAUGGGGGAUAACACAUCGAAAGAUGUGCUAAUACCGCAUACGCCCUGAGGGGGAAAGCGGGGGAUCGUAAGACCUCGCGUUAUUGGAGCGGCCGAUGCCGGAUUAGCUAGUUGGUGAGGUAAGAGCUCACCAAGGCGACGAUCCGUAGCUGGUCUGAGAGGACGACCAGCCACACUGGGACUGAGACACGGCCCAGACUCCUACGGGAGGCAGCAGUGGGGAAUUUUGGACAAUGGGCGCAAGCCUGAUCCAGCCAUGCCGCGUGAGUAAAGAAGGCCUUCGGGUUGUAAAGCUCUUUCGCAAGGAAAGAAAACUUAUCUACUAA